This is a long non-coding RNA of Ahaetulla prasina, 820 nucleotides long. RefSeq lists it as uncharacterized. The transcript is spliced from 3 exons. Lineage: Eukaryota; Metazoa; Chordata; Lepidosauria; Squamata; Colubridae. The record is from RefSeq and is a predicted model, not a curated record.
UCUAGGGGCUGCAAUUGAAAGGUAAACAAACUCAGGAACUGGGUAGCUGAUGGGCUGGCAUAGAGGAAGACAAGUUGGCGCCAAAAUUCAAGGAAGAUGAAGGAGGAUAUGUAGGCAAAAGGUUCUAUUCAAAGCCAGAUAACGAAAAACAUCUUUGGAUUUCUAACUACACAACAGGGCACCCCCUCCUCCAAUUUUUCUCAACAACCAUCUCGUAAGGUCAGUUGGGCUGUCUUGAAUCUGAGAUUAAGCACUUCACUCCUCCAACAUUUCCAAUGAAAUUGGCAGUUACCUAUCAAUGUUCAGAAGGAAAGAAAAAUACCACAAGGCCUGUAAUGGAUUCGACUAGAGGAGCAAAGAGUGACUGGGGCUGAGGGCUGAGAGAGUAAAACAGGACUUGCCUAAAAUUUCUCCCUCUCUGAGAUCAGUUUCACAACAAGGAAUGAUUUCUUCUGGAUUAGUGGCCAAAGCCAUGAUUCAGUUCUACAGAGGAAUUAUUGAGUCUGUCAUUUGCACCUCUAUAACUGUCUGGUUCGGUUCUGCAACCCAACAAGAAAGACACAGACUUCAGAGGAUAAUUAGAACUGCAGAAAAAAUAAUUGCUACCAACCUGCCUUCCAUUGAGGACCUGUAUACUGCAUGAAUCAAGAAGAGGGCCGUGAAAAUAUUUACAGAUCCCUCACAUCCUGGACAUAAACUGUUUCAGCUCCUACCCUCAAAACGACGCUAUAGAGCACUGCACACCAGAACAAUUAGACACAAGAACAGUUUUUUCCCGAAGGCCAUUACUCUGCUAAACAAUGAACUACCCGUGGGGCUA